GAUGAAGAACGUAGCGAAAUGCGAUACGUAAUGUGAAUUGCAGAUUUCAGUGAAUCAUCGAAUCUUUGAACGCACAUUGCGCCCGCUAGUAUUCUGGCGGGCAUGCCUGUUCGAGCGUCAUUUCAACCAUCAAGCCCUAGGCUUGCGUUGGAGCCCUGCGGCUGCCGCAGGCUCCCAAAUCCAGUGGCGGGCUCGUCGUCGUACCGAGUGCAGUAAACAUCCUCGCUCAGGGAACGUGACGGGUACUUGCCGUGAAACCCCCCACAUAUCAAGGUUGACCUCGGAUCAGGUAGGAAUACCCGCUGAACUUAAGCAUAUCAAUAAGCGGAGGA
Molecule: unclassified non-coding RNA, 332 nt
Filed under: soil metagenome
Description: partial contains 5.8S ribosomal RNA, internal transcribed spacer 2, and large subunit ribosomal RNA
Rfam family: 5.8S ribosomal RNA (bases 1-120)
Source: RNAcentral